This is a long non-coding RNA of Triticum aestivum (bread wheat), 4460 nucleotides long. RefSeq lists it as uncharacterized. The transcript is spliced from 2 exons. The record is from RefSeq and is a predicted model, not a curated record. NCBI's taxonomy places the organism in Eukaryota, Viridiplantae, Streptophyta, Magnoliopsida, Poales, Poaceae.
AACUUUUCAUGUUGGCGUAAGUUAUUUAGUAAUGUUUUUAUAUGAAAGAAUCAAUCACAAUCAAUCUCUAAAGAUCAAGUCUAAAUUAAUUAGCCCUACCUUGAAUGGCUCAAUCACAUUUAUUGGGAAACAAAUGACUGAUUUUAAGAAAAUUAAUGGGUCGUCGCUCUCUGGAUCAAACUCCUCCCUCGAUCAACGCCGCGUGUUUUCUCUCUUCCUCCAACCUGGCUAGGGUUCCCAGCCCCAUCUUCUCCGCCGCCGCCAUGUAAUCCUCUCCGACCUCGCCUGGAGCAGCCAGCAAGAUGCCGCCGCCGUGGCCGCCUCUCUCCCUUCUCUCCUCUUUUUCCCUACCUUUCUCUCUCCUCUAAAGUCUAAACUGUGUGCAGGUCCUCUCCACAGGUGCUGCCAUGGCCGUGUCAUGGAGCUCGCCCCCGUGGGAUGCAUGCCCCUCCAAUGACGCCCUGUCCAGGUCCUCUGGAUCCCGAUUUGAGUGUGUUAUUUUGCGUCCGAUCCUGAUUUGGACGGCAUUUUUUGAGGCACCGCGAGCGCGCUGGACGGCAAAAAGGGUUGCGUCAAGGAGCGACGCAUUGUUGUAAGCCUGUAGCACACCAUUGUUGCUACUCCCACCUCGAUGGUCUAUCUCAUGGGUUGCAGAUAGGAUGUGAUAUUCUGCAGCGUGGACAUCGCCUAGCAAUCAGAUUUGAUGUUGAGAAAGAUCCGGCAGGAAGAUCUCAUCCUGGAACCCAGGAGUGCUUGAUUUGAUAUUGAGAAUUCUACUUGCUAGCAGUGUACAUGUUUCUUAUGAUGCCCGUGUGCGUUUACCUUGUCAAGAAGUUCCGCGUGAAUGUCAAUGCCGAUGAAGACAAAGGUGCUCUGCUUCGAUCCCUUCUUUUGAUUUCGCAAAAUGGAAAACACAAGGGUGUCUGGAAAUUGAGAUCGUUGGUUCACCAUCAGAAGCUUCGCAUGAACGUCAAUGUCGAUAAUGACAAAGGUGCUCUGUUUCGCUCCCUUCUUCUGAUUUUGCAAAAUGCAAAACACCAGGGUGUCUAGAAAUUGAGAUCGUUGGUUCACCAGCAACACAGUCAGUAUUAUAAAACAGAUUGCAUGGAUGCUUUAUUUGUGUGUUCGAUGUAGUCUAAUUUGAUAUACGCGGUGAUGGUAUUGAAUCUGCAAAGAAAAUAUAUACUCAUUUCCUAAUUGCAUCUUUUAAUCAGGAGCCCAGGACCAACCUUUAGGCAGGAAAGAGGGACAAUCUUCAGUAAAGUACAAUUUUCAUGUCUUCUUAUAACAUUUGACUGAUGUGUUAUGGUAUCAUUCUUCUACUUUCACAGCUAUUACUGUGAAUGUGUUGACGUCAUGUCUUCUCAUCAUUUGAGCUUACUUCGAUAUUAUUGAUUCUAAAUCCAGCAAGAUCUUGAAUAUUUUUUCACUUUGCCCAUUCAAAAAUUUGUUCACCUAGCAACAUUCAUGAUGUAAGCUUUGAUUUGAAAAACAACUUUUAAUGUUAUAGGACAGACAAAGAAGAAGGUUAGGGAGGACAUGCCCGAGAAGCUCAGAGAUAAGGCAGAGGUUGGGGACACAUAGGGGAAGCCUUGAAGGGGGAGAUAAGCAAGCUCAAGCACUAUGAGCAUGGGAUGACAGAGCGGCCGACCAAGGCGGUUGAGAGCAGGCGUGUGCGAGAGGAAGUGAACUGGGGAGAGGCAACAGGGGGCAUCACUAGGAAGGCAGCAGGUGGCAUGCAACAUUGGCCUUAUCUCUUAUGUUCGCCAAGGUGGCCUGUUGUUUCCACAAUAUGUUUGGAUUGUCAUGUUGUUAUGGUCACGUAGGGUUGAAAUUCUUUCAAUGCAAUUAUCUCAGUAAAAUCACAUGGUAAUCUUCUGUGCUCUUGUAAAGAGUGAUCAUUUUCUUAAUCUUAAUAUUGUGAUUAAUCAACCAAUAGUGUUGUAUGAUUUAAAAAAAAUUAAGACUUUUUUGGCCAAUUAAUCUACACCUUUGUUCAUUGACGGGAGGUGCUUUUGAUCUUGUAAUUAGUUCCUCUGGAUUAUGUGUUUUGUUCUGCUGGUCAAAGGUUAGUAUAUGACUGACUUAGAAUUGUUUUUUCUGAAUUGUGUAUGAAAUAUCUUGGCGUUUGUGAAUCUGGUGGAACAAAUGAUGUUUAGACAUGAUUAUUUUGCUCCAUAGUUUACUGUCUACAUCGUUAUUAUUAUUCUCCUAAUAGUCACACUGUCCAAUUCAUAAAAGCGCAUUUUGAUUUGAGAAUUUGGGGAUGUGGAUGAGACAUAUUUGUACCAAACAAUUUUCUCGCAAAUUUCUUACAAUCCCCUAUAGAACCAUCCUUUUCUUUGUAGGGAAGCAAAUAUUUUGGGUUGUAUCAUAUUAAGGUGAGAUGUAAUGAAUCAAUAUGAGGUGUUGGAGUAGACUUGGAAGGGCUCUUUGGCUCCACAUUCAAGGUGAGAUACAGGGUUGAGAAGAAGAGGUUACUAUAAUUCUAGCCAUGUUCGUUGCUCCCCAAGAUCUUCUGAAGUAUGGCUUUCAGGUAUGUCUCCAAGAUUGUAAAGGAUAUGACAUUGCCUUUGUUUUGCUCAGGAAUAAGUGGUCAUGAAUAAUAAAGGUUUGUUCUUGUUCAGUAAUGGUUGGCCACCACAUUUUCUUUAGGGUAUGGCUAACCAAGUCUUAGUCAAGUGGCAUAGUAUGUAAGAAAGAAGAAAGAUUAGGCUGAAGAAAAAGUUUACAUAGUUCUCCAUGUAAGAUCUAACGAAUGUAGCAUCGACUGACACUUAACCAAGUCUUGGUCAAUUGAUAUUUAGCAAGACUGUUUUUAUUAUAUGAAUUGUUUUUACUGCUUGCAUGUGACAGCCAGAGCAGCAGUUAGAAUUCUAUUUGUUCUUCUAUAUUCGAUAGGACAGGCUCGAGUUUCAGUAUGGAUAAUGUUCCAUUGUAUUCUAAAGUAGCCAAAGAAGGUCUCUAAUAACUCUAAGUAACAGCAACAAGUUCGUCGUCAUACCAGUCAGCUAUAUGAGUACUUUAUGUUAUUUCAGAUCAUACACCAACCCCUCCUCCCCCUUUUGUGUAUAUCUAUAGAGAGAUAUACCCUUGGUUAUCUUUCUCAUCUUUUGUAAUACGCCAACCUCUCCUCCCCUUGCCCUCUGCCUUAUCUCUGAACUUUCAAUGUUAUGGAUUAUCUUUUAACUACGUUAUGGUAAUGCCCGUUUGUUUCGUUUCAGAGUUAUAAAGAAGUAAUCAACUAGGAGCAUAUUAUAUAUUGUUCAUAUCAGUUCAAGAGUUCAGUACUGGGCUAUAGUUCGGUUUAGUUUGGUUGUUCUGUUUUGCCACUUGCACCGUCAUGCAAUGAUUUUCAGUUCAAUGACAUGCCCAUAGGUUGACAAGACCGAUGAUAUGCUCUCCAAUUGAUUUAUAUUUCCAUCUGCACUAUAUUACAACAAUUUUCAUCUCAUGUACAUGCUCAGAACAUCCAAGAUCCGCUCUGAAAUUUUGUUACCAAAGUUACAAAGUGAUUUGCUCGCAAAUUGACAUGGAUGGACUGCUCUCAAAUUGACAACUAUUAAAGUUAGUUUAAAAUCUCAGCUCGACAUUUGCUCCUAAAUCUGAAGCUUGUAUGUCCUACUCAAAGGGACAACAUCUGGUGUGUUAAAUCUGAAACUCAAAUCUCCUCCUUUUUGUUGACAUGUGUGUAUGAUCCAGUAUAUCAUGCUCAAUCGACAGUCCCAUGGCAGAGUUGUCCUAGUCAUGCCUACAUGUCCGUCGACCUUCAUCCAUGGUCGUUGUACCUCGAUGAAACACAUGGCGCUCACUUGACACCUUCAGCAGCGGCACGAGGUGACGGCGUGGUGCUGCUAUACGGUGACGCGGCGCUAGCUUGGCGCAUCCUCUUGCGGUGGUGUGGGCAUGGCAUUGGCGGUCGCCGUUCAUCCAUGGCCACCGUACCACACCCAAGGGAUGGAGCGCUCGCUUGGUGCAUCCCGCGCCAGGACCUCGAUGGCGUGGUGAAGCCACGAGCGGUGAUGCUACACUCGCUUGGGGUGGAAAUGUGGUCUCCCUCCCACCAUGUUGUGGCAGCGGCAAUCGCUCUCCCACCCACAACAAAGCUCAUGGGCGCCGCCAGCGGCAAGCCAUGUGUGAUGGAAAUGAAGGGGUUAGGCGUCAUUAUUUCUUUUUCUUGAGGUGUGGGUUGUUCAGGAGCCAUUAUACAUGUUUAACAUGGAAGGGGUCUUGAGCAGACUGAAACCUAUGGAUAGAUGAGACCUUGAGCGGACUGAAAUUGGAGCAAGAGUUCAAUAUUAUUGGUGGUAUUCUGGUAUCUUUAUGUCCUCAAAUACCUAGGAAAAGUGCAUUCGUGAACUCUGUAUAGCAUGGUGUCCCCAAACUGAGACAAUAUUGUAACAAAAUUCCCCAUAAGGUUUGCAUCAUUUGUAUUAAAGUCAUUGCUAUUUUCUGACAAA